This 1007-nucleotide long non-coding RNA is filed under the name Carica papaya (papaya). RNAcentral describes it as "long non-coding RNA (CPAP_LNC004733)". Lineage: Eukaryota; Viridiplantae; Streptophyta; Magnoliopsida; Brassicales; Caricaceae. The record is from RNAcentral.
CAUAUUACCUCUAUAUUGUAUAUAUUUAACAUAUAUCACACAUACCCAUACGAAAUUAUAUACUGCUCAUUCAAAAUAAUUCCCUACAUAAUCAUAUAUAUGUAUAUAUCAAGACAUACAAUUUUUAGACAUACACUCUCACCCAUUAUCUCCUAUAUAUGUAUCUAUUGGCAUACCCACAUACAUUCAAAUAUACUCAGUUAUGUAUUCAUGCAGCUUCAACAUUAUGUUUAAUUACACAAACACCCAUAAUUUACUUAACGUAUAUUUUAAACUUUUGCUUCAUAUACAUCUCACUGCAUGUACCCUCUUAUUCACUGCUGCAUCCAAGCGCACAUUGAAUUACCACACAAGGCAUAUUUGUACCUCUAUAGUAUACAUACACAAUCAUAAGAAGUCAUUCACACACUUUCACAUACAAAUGAUAAGUUAUAAGAAAACACAUUCUAAAAUCAUCCAUUAAACUUGGAUAAUCAUUUUGAAAUAAAUAAAUUAUUUCACAAAAGCAUGAAAUCUCCGAAUGAAAACUAACUCAAUUCUUACCAAAAUCUUCAACGGAAGAAGAAAUUAGAAAGUUUUCGAAUAACUUUAGUUUCAUACAAUCGGGCCCCUUUUUAGUUUCCUAUUCCCGAUUUUCCUAAAAAUUUCAUACAUAUGAUUAAGGAUUUAAUUUAAAAGAGAAAUAAUUGAAUAUAAGGUGGAAGAAAAUUUACCAAACUCAGCACUGGAUUCAGGCUUCCGACCUGAAGGAGUGCGAUUUCAGUCUCUCUCUCCGGUUCCCUGAUUUUUGGACUCGCAUGGAUCUUAAACGGAUCCAGAACACUGCACUGUAAUCUACCUCACGCGGACUAAGUCCACCCAACACUGUGUGCGACUUCUUCUCCAGCAACGAACACCGUUCCCCUAACACCAUGUGCAAGUCUUCUUUUUCGGCCCUGUGCACCACUCGCGUCGUGCCCACGCUUCCUUCCUUCCUUCAUUCUUCUUUUUCUUCUUCUUUGCUUCCC